RNAcentral lists this ribosomal RNA (420 nucleotides) under bacterium. RNAcentral's name for it is "partial 16S ribosomal RNA". It matches the Rfam family "Bacterial small subunit ribosomal RNA", at positions 355 to 776 of the family's 1533-position model. The record is from RNAcentral.
UGGGGGAUAUUGCACAAUGGGCGAAAGCCUGAUGCAGCGACGCCGCGUGGGGGAUGAAGGCUUUCGGGUUGUAAACCUCUUUCGCUAUCGAACAAGGCCCGCUUAGGGUGGGUUGAGGGUAGGUGGAGAAGAAGCGCCGGCUAACUACGUGCCAGCAGCCGCGGUAAUACGUAGGGCGCGAGCGUUGUCCGGAAUUAUUGGGCGUAAAGGGCUUGUAGGCGGCUUGUUGCGCCUGCUGUGAAAACGCGGGGCUUAACUUCGCGCGUGCAGUGGGUAUGGGCAGGCUUGAGUGUGGUAGGGGUGACUGGAAUUCCAGGUGUAGCGGUGGAAUGCGCAGAUAUCUGGAGGAACACCGAUGGCGAAGGCAGGUCACUGGGCCAUUACUGACGCUGAGGAGCGAAAGCAUGGGUAUCGAACAGG